RNAcentral lists this ribosomal RNA (460 nucleotides) under uncultured bacterium. Its description in RNAcentral is "partial 16S ribosomal RNA". It matches the Rfam family "Bacterial small subunit ribosomal RNA", at positions 338 to 795 of the family's 1533-position model. The record is from RNAcentral.
CCUACGGGAGGCAGCAGUGCGGAAUAUUGGUCAAUGGGCGUAAGCCUGAACCAGCCAAGUCGCGUGAGGGAUGAAGGUUCUAUGGAUCGUAAACCUCUUUUAUAAGGGAAUAAAUUGCGGGACGUGUCCCGUUUUGUAUGUACCUUAUGAAUAAGGAUCGGCUAACUCCGUUACAGCAGCCGCGGUACUACGGAGGAUACGAGCGUUAUCCGGGUUUAUUGGGUUUAAAGGUUGCGUAGGCGGCCUUGUAAGUCAGCGGUGAAAGUCUGUGGCUUAACCAUAGAAGUGCCGUUGAAACUGGGAGGCUAGAGUAUGUUUGAGGCAGGCGGAAUGCGUGGUGUAGCGGUGAAAUGCUUAGAUAUCACGCAGAACCCCGAUGGCGAAGGCAGCCUGCCAAGCCAUGACUGACGCUGAUGCACGAAAGCGUGGGGAUCAAACAGGAUUAGAUACCCCGGUAGUC